This 31-nucleotide ribosomal RNA is filed under the name Phytophthora tentaculata. RNAcentral's name for it is "partial 18S ribosomal RNA". The record is from RNAcentral. Lineage: Eukaryota; Oomycota; Peronosporomycetes; Peronosporales; Peronosporaceae.
UUUCCGUAGGUGAACCUGCGGAGGAUCAUUA